RNAcentral lists this transfer RNA (88 nucleotides) under Nocardioides sp. AN3. RNAcentral's name for it is "tRNA-Ser". It matches the Rfam family "tRNA". From Rfam's summary of the family: Transfer RNA (tRNA) molecules are approximately 80 nucleotides in length. RNAcentral also lists the same sequence under 3 other names. The record is from RNAcentral. Lineage: Bacteria; Bacillati; Actinomycetota; Actinomycetes; Propionibacteriales; Nocardioidaceae.
GGAGCUGUCGCCUAGUGGCCUAUGGCGCUCGCUUGGAAAGCGGGUUGGGUUAACGCCCUCGGGGGUUCGAAUCCCCCCAGCUCCGCCA